CAGUAGCCGCGGUAAUACGGAGGGUGCAAGCGUUAAUCGGAAUUACUGGGCGUAAAGCGCACGCAGGCGGUUUGUUAAGUCAGAUGUGAAAUCCCCGGGCUCAACCUGGGAACUGCAUUUGAAACUGGCAAGCUAGAGUCUCGUAGAGGGGGGUAGAAUUCCAGGUGUAGCGGUGAAAUGCGUAGAGAUCUGGAGGAAUACCGGUGGCGAAGGCGGCCCCCUGGACGAAGACUGACGCUUAGGUGCGAAAGCGUGGGGAGCAAACAGGAUUAGAUACCCCUGUAGUCCCUGUCUCUUAUAA
This 301-nucleotide ribosomal RNA is filed under the name uncultured bacterium. RNAcentral's name for it is "partial 16S ribosomal RNA". It matches the Rfam family "Bacterial small subunit ribosomal RNA", at positions 509 to 809 of the family's 1533-position model. The record is from RNAcentral.